This 234-nucleotide long non-coding RNA is filed under the name Elaeis guineensis (African oil palm). Its description in RNAcentral is "long non-coding RNA (EGUI_LNC030642)". Lineage: Eukaryota; Viridiplantae; Streptophyta; Magnoliopsida; Arecales; Arecaceae. The record is from RNAcentral.
AUUAUUGUCUCCUAAUUAUGUCCAUUUGUAAAUAUUUCAAUGGUUAUGAUUGUACGAGCUUGUUGCUAUGACGAUGACAGAACUAUAUGGUACAUAUGCAAUCAUGAUAGUCAUGUAAAAUAAAAAAUCUUUAAGUUAAAUAUAGCUAAAUAUUAAGUAAAUUAAGUAUAAGUAAGUUUAUAUAGUUUAACAUAAUACAAUCAAAUAUUGGUCUAAUAGAUAGAGAGAUAGGGG